Molecule: non-coding RNA, 23 nt
Filed under: Arabidopsis thaliana (thale cress)
Lineage: Eukaryota; Viridiplantae; Streptophyta; Magnoliopsida; Brassicales; Brassicaceae
Source: RNAcentral
CCAUAUUAGACUGUGGGCUUCCA